This 253-nucleotide ribosomal RNA is filed under the name uncultured bacterium. RNAcentral's name for it is "partial 16S ribosomal RNA". It matches the Rfam family "Bacterial small subunit ribosomal RNA", at positions 524 to 776 of the family's 1533-position model. The record is from RNAcentral.
UACGUAGGGUGCGAGCGUUGUCCGGAAUUACUGGGCGUAAAGAGCUCGUAGGUGGUUUGUCGCGUUGUUCGUGAAAACUCACAGCUUAACUGUGGGCGUGCGGGCGAUACGGGCAGUCUGGAGUACUGCAGGGGAGACUGGAAUUCCUGGUGUAGCGGUGGAAUGCGCAGAUAUCAGGAGGAACACCGGUGGCGAAGGCGGGUCUCUGGGCAGUAACUGACGCUGAGGAGCGAAAGCGUGGGGAGCGAACAGG